Leopardus geoffroyi (Geoffroy's cat) is the source of this 628-nucleotide long non-coding RNA. RefSeq lists it as uncharacterized. The transcript is spliced from 3 exons. Lineage: Eukaryota; Metazoa; Chordata; Mammalia; Carnivora; Felidae. The record is from RefSeq and is a predicted model, not a curated record.
GGUAGACAGAGGCUUCUCUGAAAUUGGACGUUCAUGGGGAAGGAGGACCAAGGUCAGCUUUGGAGCUGUAGACCAAUCUGGGUUGGAAUGCGAGCUCUUUUCCUUCUAAGGCAGAAGCUGAAAUAGAAAAAAAAAAAAAAUUAAGGCGAACACGACGUUGCCGCUCUAAGUGGAGAAGCCGUCUUGCUGGUCAUGAACUGAAGUCACUGGUGAGAAUAAUCACAACCCAAAGCCAAUGGGGUGUUAAAUCCUGGCUGGGAAGGACCUGGGCACAGAGGCGGCUCUCCUUGUGAGAGAAGAAAAAGCAUCAGGGAAGCAUUCGGACCAAUGCCAAAUCAAGACUUGCUCCCUGGUAGGACCAGGAGGGCAUAAAGGGUUAACUUGGGAAUCAUUUCCAUCCUCCGUGAUUCAUUUAAUGCCUCGAGUAAUUCAGAAAGUGAUGCUGGGGGGUCCCCACCCCAUCUCCGUGAGGUUCACACACCAGGACAGGGCGCCUGGGUGAUCCUGUUGGUCCCUCCUGCUGAGGCUCUCAGGAAUCUAGAAGGGCCGGCAGGGCUGGGACAUCGCAGCUGAAUGGGAAGGAAGACAAAAAGAGACAGAGCAUGAGCAGGGGAGGAGCAGAGAGAGA